GCCUCGGUGGUGUAGUGGUAGCAUUCGUCCUCGGUUUGGAUGAAACACGGGGUUCGACUCCCGUCUGAGGCC
This is a non-coding RNA of Parelaphostrongylus tenuis, 72 nucleotides long. NCBI's taxonomy places the organism in Eukaryota, Metazoa, Nematoda, Chromadorea, Rhabditida, Metastrongylidae. The record is from the annotation of a GenBank genome assembly.